RNAcentral lists this ribosomal RNA (494 nucleotides) under uncultured bacterium. RNAcentral's name for it is "partial 16S ribosomal RNA". It matches the Rfam family "Bacterial small subunit ribosomal RNA", at positions 28 to 507 of the family's 1533-position model. The record is from RNAcentral.
GACGAACGCUGGCGGCGUGCUUAACACAUGCAAGUCGAACGGUGAAGCGCCUUCCUUUUUGGUGGGUGUGGAUGAGUGGCGAACGGGUGAGUAACACGUGAGUAACCUGCCCCCUUCUUCUGGAUAACCGCAUGAAAGUGUGGCUAAUACGGGAUAUUCUGGGUCUGUCGCAUGAUGGGUCUGGGAAAGAUAUUGUUUCGGUGGGGGAUGGGCUCGCGGCCUAUCAGCUUGUUGGUGGGGUGAUGGCCUACCAAGGCGGUGACGGGUAGCCGGCCUGAGAGGGUGGACGGUCACACUGGGACUGAGACACGGCCCAGACUCCUACGGGAGGCAGCAGGGGGGAAUAUUGCACAAUGGGCGAAAGCCUGAUGCAGCGACGCCGCGGGAGGGAUGGAGGCCUUCGGGUUGUGAACCUCUUUCGCCAGUGAAGCAGGCCUGCCUCGUUUGUGGGUGGGUUGACGGUAGCUGGAUAAGAAGCGCCGGCUAACUACGUG